Molecule: ribosomal RNA, 370 nt
Filed under: uncultured eukaryote
Lineage: Eukaryota
Description: partial 18S ribosomal RNA
Rfam family: Eukaryotic small subunit ribosomal RNA
Source: RNAcentral
CAGUAGCGUAUAUUAAAGUUGUUGCAGUUAAAAAGCUCGUAGUUGGACCUUGGGCCUGGACGGGCGGUCCGCCUCACGGCGUGUACUGUCUUGCCGGGCCUUUCCUCUUGGUGAUCUGUUGUUUCGGCAGCAGGGAACCAGGACCUUUACUUUGAAAAAAUUAGAGUGUUCAAAGCAGGCUCGACGCCGGAAUAUAUUAGCAUGGAAUAAUAAAAUAGGACGUGCGGUUCUAUUUUGUUGGUUUUUGGAAUCGCCGUAAUGAUUAAUAGGGACAGUCGGGGGCAUUAGUACUCACAUGCUAGAGGUGAAAUUCUUGGAUUUUGUGAAGACUAACUUCUGCGAAAGCAUUUGCCAAGGAUGUUUUCAUUAA